RNAcentral lists this transfer RNA (109 nucleotides) under Pyrobaculum islandicum DSM 4184. Its description in RNAcentral is "tRNA-OTHER". It matches the Rfam family "tRNA". Rfam says of the family: Transfer RNA (tRNA) molecules are approximately 80 nucleotides in length. Their secondary structure includes four short double-helical elements and three loops (D, anti-codon, and T loops). Further hydrogen bonds mediate the characteristic L-shaped molecular structure. tRNAs have two regions of fundamental functional importance: the anti-codon, which is responsible for specific mRNA codon recognition, and the 3' end, to which the tRNAs corresponding amino acid is attached (by aminoacyl-tRNA synthetases). tRNAs cope with the degeneracy of the genetic code in two manners: having more than one tRNA (with a specific anti-codon) for a particular amino acid; and 'wobble' base-pairing, i.e. permitting non-standard base-pairing at the 3rd anti-codon position. The record is from RNAcentral. Lineage: Archaea; Thermoproteati; Thermoproteota; Thermoprotei; Thermoproteales; Thermoproteaceae.
GCCCCGGUAGCUCAGCCCGGUCGGAGCGCCCUGGGGUAACGCCCCGCGUAUGCCUUGUAGCUGUUGGCAAGACAGCGGGAGGUCCCGGGUUCGAAUCCCGGCCGGGGCU